Long non-coding RNA from Ochotona curzoniae (black-lipped pika), 1450 nucleotides. RefSeq lists it as uncharacterized. The transcript is spliced from 2 exons. The record is from RefSeq and is a predicted model, not a curated record. Lineage: Eukaryota; Metazoa; Chordata; Mammalia; Lagomorpha; Ochotonidae.
CAAAUCUGUUUAAUGCUAACCUGGCCUAAUAGGAUAUAGCUGGGUGCCCUGAUCUGUUUCCAGAUCCAAUCUUCUGUGUUUUGAUGGGAGUGCUGUGUGUAAAAAGUUCCAACUCAGCAGUUGAGAAGAAGACUGCGUUCCCUGGGAAUUGGCCUUAGGACACUUCAGUGGUCUUCAGCCUGCGCUUGGCCAACAAUAAUAGAACGAAGCGGUCAGCAGUAGGAGACGAGCCUGAGAGCCAAUGAAAACUGAUCUCUGCAGAAGGGUAAGUGUGUUGUUGACGUGGUGAGAUAGCUUAGCAUAAGCCAUUAGCUAAAUCUCCCAAAAAGUAGGAAAAUCCAGCAGAAUGGGAAUUAAAAUUGCAUAAAGAUUACUCAAGGAACCGAAAGAUAUGCUUUAAAAAAAAUAAGCCACAGGAUGAAGCUUAAUGUCACUGGAUUGUUUGGUUGAGGAAUCUGUUUCAAAAAAUGCACUGCAAUGUUUUCUAGAGAUUGUGUGCUCUUGGACAUUUUGUGUUUGCUUCUGUGACUCUUAAGCUGAGAAAUAGAAUUGAGAUGCUAACUCAAGAAAUGAUAGUAAAAAUGGGAUUUCUAGGUAUUACUAAAGGAAGGUUUGAAUUGACAAUUUUAGGAUCAGGUUUAAAAAUGCAUUUAGAAAUAUCUAGCCUUUUGAAAACCUUGCUUUGUUUGCCAAUAGUAGAGCAUCCUUAUUUUUAUAGGGAAAAAUACUGUUUGAUGAAAAAUUUUUGAUGAAGUUUGGGAUAUAAAUGACACGAAGAACCAUUUUUCAAUUGGUCUUUUUUACGGGAAAGCAGUAAGCUAGAUAAGAGAUUAUCAUCAAAGUACCUUAAUUGCAGUGAACUUACUGGGUUUUUAGAUAUUGUCCUUUGACUGCAGUGAAUCAAGGAGUGAUUCUAGCUGAAAACCUUUGUCAGUUAAGAGUUCAUCAUAUCCUUCGCAUCCUCCAGUGUAGAAAUGUGUAGGUGUGUCUUUACAUAUACUAUUUCUAGGUAUAUAAAAAUGUAAUAAAGUUUGGCACUUAAAUACUUUCUCUUCACCAAAAUUUUUAGACAUCCCAAGAGUUCUCAGAUUUAAAUGAUAAAAGGGGUGCCAUAAGGCACCAUUUUAGUAAUUAACUGAUUCUUUAAUAAGGCCUCAAUUACUUUGUUUCAUGAUAAGGAAAAAAAAAAAACAUGUUCCAAGACAGAGUUCCAUUCGACAUCUGGGAACCUCCUAACAGCUGGCUACCUAAUGAAUAUGCAUCUGCUUAAAAGGCUGUAGACCAUUAAUAAACCAAUAGAUGUAAAGCAGAAACAAUCUCUGUCAACUUCAAAUGAGAUUGGAUGCAAUGUGCUGUGAAGUGUCACUGUCACAUUGAAUUGAGUUUGGGAGGUUAACAAUCACCUCUUAGCUACUCAUGUCUUUGUAUACUGCACUGGUGCUAACACUCU